UACGGAGGGUGCAAGCGUUAUCCGGAUUCACUGGGUCUAAAGGGUGCGUAGGUGGCUUUGUAAGUCAGUGGUGAAAUGCCGGAGCUUAACUCCGGAACUGCCAUUGAUACUGCUUAGCUUGAAUCACGUCGAGGUGGAUGGAAUAUUACAUGUAGCGGUGAAAUGCUUAGAUAUGUAAUAGAACACCGAUUGCGAAGGCAGUUCACUAGGCGUGUAUUGACACUGAGGCACGAAAGCGUGGGGAUCAAACAGG
This 253-nucleotide ribosomal RNA is filed under the name uncultured bacterium. RNAcentral's name for it is "partial 16S ribosomal RNA". It matches the Rfam family "Bacterial small subunit ribosomal RNA", at positions 524 to 776 of the family's 1533-position model. The record is from RNAcentral.